This 1311-nucleotide ribosomal RNA is filed under the name uncultured fungus. RNAcentral's name for it is "eukaryotic LSU rRNA". The stretch from base 682 to 1311 matches the Rfam family "Eukaryotic large subunit ribosomal RNA", at positions 1 to 649 of the family's 3401-position model. Lineage: Eukaryota; Fungi. The record is from RNAcentral.
AAGUCGUAACAAGGUUUCCGUAGGUGAACAUUCUUGCCAGGUUCGCCAAACCAGUCUACUUUGUAGGCAACAUCUUCACUGUGCUGGGAUUUACUUUAGUAAUACCAGCAGCCUAAACAGGCUCACAGGUCAAAUGGAGGUGGCCCUGAAAGGGGUUAAGAUAUGAUCGAGAGGUUGCUAGAAAUAGCAGCAUACACUCGCUGCGGAAGGAUCAUUACAGAGAACAUGCCCUUCAGGGUAGAUCUCCCACCCUAUGUUUACUAUACUUUGUUGCUUUGGCAAGCCCGUCUUCGGACCACUGGCUUCGGCUGGUCAGCGCUCGCCAGAGGACCCUAAACUCUUUAAUUUAGUGUUGUCUGAGUACUAUAUAAUAGUUAAAACUUUCAACAACGGAUCUCUUGGUUCUGGCAUCGAUGAAGAACGCAGCGAAAUGCGAUAAGUAAUGUGAAUUGCAGAAUUCAGUGAAUCAUCGAAUCUUUGAACGCACAUUGCACCCUCUGGUAUUCCGGGGGGUAUGCCUGUUCGAGCGUCAUUACAACCCUCAAGCUCUGCUUGGUAUUGGAUGCAUCGCUAUGAUUCAUCCCAAAAUCAGUGGCGGUGCCAUUCGGCUUCCAGCGUAGUAAAUUUCUCGCUGUGGAGGUCCGGGUGCGUAGUGGCCAACAAUCACUAAAUUUCUAAGGUUGACCUCGGAUCAGGUAGGGAUACCCGCUGAACUUAAGCAUAUCAAUAAGCGGAGGAAAAGAAACCAACAGGGAUUGCCUCAGUAACGGCGAGUGAAGCGGCAACAGCUCAAAUUUGAAAUCUGGCCUUCUGGUCCGAGUUGUAAUUCGUAGAGGAUGCUUCGAACGUGGUCCGGUCUAAGUUCCUUGGAACAGGACGUCAUAGAGGGUGAGAAUCCCGUAUGUGACUGGGUGCCUAAGUUCAUGUGAAGCUCCUUCGACGAGUCGAGUUGUUUGGGAAUGCAGCUCAAAAUGGGUGGUAUAUUUCAUCUAAAGCUAAAUAUUGGCCAGAGACCGAUAGCGCACAAGUAGAGUGAUCGAAAGAUGAAAAGCACUUUGGAAAGAGAGUUAAACAGUACGUGAAAUUGUUGAAAGGGAAGCGCUUGCAACCAGACUUGCAUGCAGUUGAUCAUCCGGUGUUCUCACCGGUGCACUCGGCUGUGUUCAGGCCAGCAUCGGUUUUGGUGGUUGGAUAAAGGCCCUGGGAAUGUAGCUUCUCUCGGGGAGUGUUAUAGCCCAAGGUGCAAUGCAGCCCACCAGGACCGAGGACCGCGCUUCGGCUAGGAUGCUGGCGUAAUGGUUGUAAGCGACC